RNAcentral lists this long non-coding RNA (1039 nucleotides) under Oreochromis niloticus (Nile tilapia). Its description in RNAcentral is "lncRNA (ENSONIG00000036915.1)". The record is from RNAcentral. Lineage: Eukaryota; Metazoa; Chordata; Actinopteri; Cichliformes; Cichlidae.
GGUGGCCUUGCAUGGGAUGGGAAGGAACACGUGUCUCAGCUACACUCUGCUCAUCUCGAGUCUUCGCUCCUCAUUUGGUAAGAAUGUUUUGUUUGUACAAUAAAAAUAUUUAAUUCUCAACAGGCUCAUGUUCUACACCUCCAAGGAAGUAUAACAACCCUCUCCUGCCUCACUUUACCUACUUUUACAAUCCAGACAUGGGCUUAAAAACAUGCUGACAUUAUCUGGGUUCUGUGAGCACACAAAUCCUGCAUAAGCUACGUGCUUGUACAGUUAGAGACCAGUUUUUAUAUAAAAUAAUCUUUAAUUUUCAUUCAAACUGACUAUCAGAUGUUGCCAAUUCUGUCAUGUAAUUGAUUUAUUGUAAUCAUUCACUAGCUUCAGAGCAUUUCACCUGCUGUUUCAGACAACCAACUUGUGCAACUGCAGGUUAAACCCACCCCUCAUCAGUGAAACAAAAAUAAGGUAAGUGUCCAGAUUUGGUUUAAUAAAUUACUCAUUUAACAUACAUUUAGCAAGAAUGCUGUGCUGGAUGUCUUUUAGUGCAGGAAAGGUGAUGAGUUUCUUGAGUUGAGUUUUAUUCUUUUUAGAUGUGCAGUACAGCAUUGUUAUUACAGACCAAGCCAAAAUAUAUGAGAGGAAAGCUCUCUGGUAUUUAUGUUUAAGAUGAUUUCAUGUCUCCAUCUGCGUUUUAGUUCUUGCACAUUGUUUCAUUGAGUAAUGUAAAAAUUUCAGGCUGACAAUCAGUGUGUGAAAAGACAAAAUCAAAAUUCUAAUGAGUGUAACUGUAAGACAUUUAGAUUCUACAGCAAUUUGUGGUUGCAUUAAACAAUAACUAAGAUUAUUAAACAAUGGGGACAACUAACAAAGUUAGCUGGUCAUCAGUGUAAUUACACACAAGGCAAGCAGAAACUACCAAGAUAAAUAAAUAAAUAAAUAAAAUAAAAUAAAUACACACGGGGACAUCACUGACAUAAUGCUUUCCCUAGCCGCUUACCCUAAACCUAACCAUAGCCUAAUUGUAACCCUGGCCCUAAAA